This 440-nucleotide ribosomal RNA is filed under the name uncultured bacterium. Its description in RNAcentral is "partial 16S ribosomal RNA". It matches the Rfam family "Bacterial small subunit ribosomal RNA", at positions 338 to 795 of the family's 1533-position model. The record is from RNAcentral.
CCUACGGGAGGCAGCAGUGGGGCAUAUUGCACAAUGGGGGAAACCCUGAUGCAGCGACGCCGCGUGGGUGAAGAAGUAUUUCGGUACGUAAAGCUCUAUCAGCAGGGAAGAAAAUGACGGUACCUGACUAAGAAGCCCCGGCUAACUACGUGCCAGCAGCCGCGGUAAUACGUAGGGGGCAAGCGUUAUCCGGAUUUACUGGGUGUAAAGGGAGCGUAGACGGCAGCGCAAGUCUGGAGUGAAAUCCCAUGGCUUAACCAUGGAACUGCUUUGGAAACUGUGCAGCUAGAGUGCAGGAGGGGGAAGCGGAAUUCCUAGUGUAGCGGUGAAAUGCGUAGAUAUUAGGAGGAACACCAGUGGCGAAGGCGGCUUACUGGACUGUAACUGACGUUGAGGCUCGAAAGCGUGGGGAGCAAACAGGAUUAGAUACCCUAGUAGUC